RNAcentral lists this small RNA (365 nucleotides) under Pongo abelii (Sumatran orangutan). RNAcentral describes it as "retained intron". The record is from RNAcentral. Lineage: Eukaryota; Metazoa; Chordata; Mammalia; Primates; Hominidae.
GGAGGCAACCUCUAGAGCUCCAGAACAUUCAGGUACCAGGUAGCCCCAAGGAGGAGCUGCUGACCUGGCAGGGAACAACCAAGACUGGGGUUAAAUCAGCCUGCAAGUGAAAGAGAAGAACUUGAACCCAGGUCCAACUUUUGCGCCACAGCAGGCUGCCUCUUGGUCCUGACAGGAAGUCACAACUUGGGUGUGAGUCCUGAUCCCUGGCUAUUUUUUGGCUGUGUUACCUUGGACAAGUCACUUAUUCCUCCUCCUGCUUCCUCCUAUGUAAAAUGGAAAUAAUAAUGCUGACCCUGGGUCUGAGAGAGUGGAUUUGAAAGUACUUAGUGCAUCACAAAGCACAGAACACACUUCCGGUCUCG